CCUACGGGAGGCUGCAGUGGGGAAUAUUGGACAAUGGGCGCAAGCCUGACCCAGCAACGCCGCGUGAAGGAAGAAGGCUUUCGGGUUGUAAACUUCUUUUCUCAGGGACGAAUCAAGUGACUGUACCUGAGGAAUGCGCCACGGCUAACUACGUGACAGCAGCCGCGGUAAUACGUAGGUGGCAAGCGUUAUGCGGUUUUACUGGGUGUAAAGGGCGUGUAGGCGGGAAAGCAAGUCAGAUGUGAAAACCAUGGGCUUAACCUGUGGACUGCAUUUGAAAGUGUUUUUCUUGAGUAAAGGAGAGGCAGGCGGAAGUCCGAGUGUAGCGGUGAAAUGCGUAGAUAUUCGGAGGAACACCGGUGGCGAAGGCGGUCUGCUGGGCAGCAACUGACGCUGAGGCGCGAAAGCGUGGGGAGCAAACAGGAUUAGAUACCCUGGUAGUC
Molecule: ribosomal RNA, 443 nt
Filed under: uncultured bacterium
Lineage: Bacteria
Description: partial 16S ribosomal RNA
Rfam family: Bacterial small subunit ribosomal RNA
Source: RNAcentral